Molecule: small RNA, 110 nt
Filed under: Pongo abelii (Sumatran orangutan)
Lineage: Eukaryota; Metazoa; Chordata; Mammalia; Primates; Hominidae
Source: RNAcentral
GCUGGGUGCAGUGGCUCACACCUGUAAUCCCAGCAGUUUGGGAGGCCGAGAUGGCGGAUCGCUUGAGUCCAGGAGUUUGAGACCAGCCUGGGCAACAUGGCAAAACCCCG